This 633-nucleotide ribosomal RNA is filed under the name Triticum aestivum (bread wheat). RNAcentral describes it as "partial small subunit ribosomal RNA". Lineage: Eukaryota; Viridiplantae; Streptophyta; Magnoliopsida; Poales; Poaceae. The record is from RNAcentral.
AUGCGUGGUCGGGCGCCGCGUCGAUGUUGCCGCUGCUCGGCGCCGCCGUCGCCGACUCGUGGCUCGGCCGGUACCGCACCAUCGUCGCCUCCUUCGUUAUCUACAUCACGUGGCACAAAAGGCGAGCUACCUUGGCGUGCAGAAGAGGCCCCCCUCCCUUGCCUUGUGCCCGGCGACCAACAACUGCGUGUCGACGUCCGAGAGGAUAAGCAAUUCCAAUCACUACGCUCCCCCAUGAAGAAGAAAGGUAAAUUUCAGCAUUCUAGCUUUCUUGCUGGGGGAGCUACAUCUGCUGCUAGGAAACUGGUUGCUCAAAAUGGGACUCUGAAGGUAUGCAAUUCUUAUCUGCAAACAGCUCUUACACCAGUUUUAUCAGGCAACAUGCUGACACAACCUGAACUUUAUUGUUGGCAGGCUAUUUGGCCUCACAGUGGCCACUAUCGCCCCACAGAGGAGAACUUCCAGGAGUUUAAAAGCUUCCUCAAUGACAGCUUGGUUGAUCUCACUGAUGCACCUGAAGAAACUGGCUCUCUUCAGACAACUCAAGUCAUUCAAACAACAUCUACAGAGACAGAAAAACGUGAGGAACCAGUGGUGGCGCGCGAGAAGAUCCUUCAGAGGAGAUGGUGGUAG